CUUCAGCCAUGUUUAUCACUGUGAUGUUUGGAGCUGGUUGUCAGGUGCUGGUGAACACCUGGUGCAGUCUGGUGACCUUCAUUAUGCAUCUGAAACAGAAAGUUCAGGUCCCCCCAGAAGGUGAGAAGACCUGGGGGCCCUGGGGAGGAAGGACUGAGGGUCCCAUGCCGGGGUGCAGGCUGCCCAGUUUAUUCCCAUUUCUGCCCAGUAACCAUUGCUCUUCUGGCUGAAGACGGGCAUCUGGUGAGGCUGGAAGAGGGGAUCGCCCAGGCCCCCUCCAUGGCCUGUUCCCUGUUACAGGAGCAAGGGACCUAUGUCCUGGUACAGAUCACUGGUGAGUGGGGCCCAAGACUCUCCGGUGCAGCUAUGUUGACUAUAAAGGAGAGACAGCAGGCCACAGACCAGCUAAGAUCCUGUUCAGCCUCAACCUUGGCUGGUUCCUAUACCCAACCAUCCCUAUCCAAUGCCUGUCCUAACCCCCAGCCUGGGCCAGGAAACAGACACAGAAUAAAAUGUAGGAUGGGGACCACCAAGACAGUUUAGGGUCCUUUGCUCUCUAUAUACUCUUCAGGAGGGAAAGAUGGCACUCCCACCCACUACAAGUCCCUACUGGACAACCUAGAUGACCACUGUCCCGAGUUAGCAGGUACGUAUCAAGGUAAGUGGGGGUGGGGGCACAUCUAUGCAGCUCCCAGCAAUGAGAUUCCUGGGCUUUCCAGAGGAGCUGGACUGGCUCUCCGGCUUUCCGGCUACAAGCAAUAGUCAGAGAAGACGCCCAGGCAUUCGGCGUGGCCACCGGGAACAAGGCCCCCCUUCAAGGUCUCGAAGGGUGGUCUCCCUACCAUCUAGAAACCGCUAGCCGGAGCCUGAGCCAGGUCCUGUGACCUGGCGCGCCACGGCCAAGUGGCCCGGCUGGACGUGGAUCCAAGGGGACUGGCCCUGACCUCUGCAUCAUGAUCAACUGCACACAGACCGCAGUCCAGCGGGACUCCUCUUUCAGAAUCUGGCAUUACUAAGAAGUUGCAUCAGCAAGAAGGGAAAGGUCACAGACAGGAUGCGAGAGGCCCCUCCACCACUCCCCCCAUUUGAGUGCAGAGAAAAGGAUCCAAGGACAGAAACAAGAAGAGUGAGGGGGCCGAAGGUCUGUGGGGCAGACAGGAGGCUCCUCUUGCGGUUUCAGGUCCCAGGGACUAAGGCCUCAGCCCUCUCUCCCCACUUUGAGAUCCCUAGAGGAAUCUGUCCUUGGCUAUUUACAAUGUAGAUUAUAACAGGGUUCCUCCCACCCCACCCUAGAAGUUCAAGGACAGCCCAGGGUUACACAGCAGGAAAUAUUCUCUCUCUCUCCCUACACACACACACACACACACACACACACACACACACACACAAAAGGAGAGGGAAAGAGGGAGAAAGAGGAAAGAGAGAGGGAGAGAGAG
Peromyscus californicus insignis is the source of this 1436-nucleotide RNA transcript. It is a transcript of the gene named chromosome unknown C22orf15 homolog, with no coding region annotated. Lineage: Eukaryota; Metazoa; Chordata; Mammalia; Rodentia; Cricetidae. The record is from RefSeq and is a predicted model, not a curated record. The transcript is spliced from 3 exons.